CUCGGUAAUAACGUCCCACAGUGACAUGGAUUUGCAUAAAACUUGACAACCAGUGAGCUCCCCUCCUCUAUAUGGUGUCCGUUCUCCACAACGCAGACCAAAGUCAGUUCUCUUCUGGAGGGGAGUGAUGGGAGAUGAUUUUCGCAUAACUACUGUGGACUUUCUUCUGCCUGGAAAGAGAGAGAACAAGAGAACAGAAGGAGGAGCAGGGGGAGAGGAAGAGAGAGAGUUUUCAAGCAGACUCCAAGCUGAGCGUGGAAUCAGACUUGGGGCUCAAUCCCAGGACCUUGACAUCAUAUCCUGACCUGGCUCCUUAAUCAACUGAGCCAUCCAGCCACCCCAGAUCCAUCUAUAUUUUUAUUUAUUUUCAUUAGUUUGAUCAAUUGCUGAAAAAUAAUAUUAAAAAAUCUUCAACUAUGAUUAUAGAAUUGUUUAUUUCUCCCCUUGAUUCUGUCAUUGUCUCCUGAAUUUUGAAGCUGUUAUGAGAGGAAAAAACAUAUAUGAAUACUACGGCUUCCUGAUGAUUCUUCCGGACUCUCUUGACAUUGUGAAAAGUCUCUCUUUAUUGCCAGUGCUCUUAAUUCCUUCACAAAGACAGAAUUUCAAUGUGGUGUCAUUUGCC
Molecule: long non-coding RNA, 622 nt
Filed under: Mustela putorius furo (domestic ferret)
Lineage: Eukaryota; Metazoa; Chordata; Mammalia; Carnivora; Mustelidae
Description: lncRNA (ENSMPUG00000030294.1)
Source: RNAcentral